GUGGCUUGUAUGGGGAGCUUAUCCCUGCUGCUCCUUAUAAAUAAACACACGGCGUGAGAUGAUUCCACACACCAGGAGGAAACCACUAAUGCUGAGCUUUGUGUUUUAAUAAGACGAGAGAACAUGCAGAGAAUACUAUUUGAUGCCGGUGUGGAGUGUUCCAUUUACAACUUGACUUCAGGUGAGUUGGACUCACAGUUGAUGAAGACAAUCUUGAUCAUGGUGAGCGUGAAGAAGGGCAGCGGGGCCACGUACACCUUCACCAGCAGGGCCGUCAACAGGAACACCACCAGGAUGACCGUCAGGCUGCCCGAGAUGCGCAACUUCUGAGGGAUCCUGCAUGAACGGAUGGACAUGCCCAUGCAGGAUGAAGCCACAGGUCAGCACUAUGUGAGUGAGACCAGGUAGAACCGCAAACGAACUUCUCAUCUUCUAAAAGAUGUCUGACUCACCAUGGUGGCCGUCAUGAAGAAGUUCCACGGUAGGACGGAUCCCAAGCCCAGGAUGAAAAAAAUGAUCCACACGGCCUUGUAUCUGGGAAAGUUCACAUGGAGACACAAAGUCAUUCAGUUUAUAUCAACAAACAAUCUGUAAUUAGUUGGGGGUCUUCCAGCAAGGCCGGAUACAACGUCUUCAUGACAAUAGUUGAGAUACUUUAUUUGUAGGAGUUUGGCUUACUUGUCUUUGGGUGAGUUGAUGGUGGUCAUGGUUCCUUCUGGUUUGUGUGUGUAGUCUCGUCAGGGAUUUUUAGUCAGCAAGGCACCAGCAAACACACCAAAAUAUAUUUUACCAACAGCUGCUGCAUGUGGCGCAACCUGGAAACGUAAACAAGAUUGUGAACACAUUGACAGAAAUAAGAAAAAGGAAUGUAAUGCUUGGAGUCCACUGGGCCGGCGCCAGUUGGUGCCAGUUCACGCCAAAGAUUAUGUGAUUGGCGCGUGGUGGCUUGCUGUGG
This is a non-coding RNA of Doryrhamphus excisus (bluestripe pipefish), 955 nucleotides long. Lineage: Eukaryota; Metazoa; Chordata; Actinopteri; Syngnathiformes; Syngnathidae. The record is from RefSeq and is a predicted model, not a curated record.